GCGGGCGUGGCGGAAUGGCAGACGCGCCAGGUUUAGGUCCUGGUGGGGCAACCCGUGUAGGUUCAAGUCCUAUCGCCCGCACCA
RNAcentral lists this transfer RNA (84 nucleotides) under Actinomycetes bacterium. RNAcentral's name for it is "tRNA-Leu". It matches the Rfam family "tRNA". Rfam says of the family: Transfer RNA (tRNA) molecules are approximately 80 nucleotides in length. Lineage: Bacteria; Bacillati; Actinomycetota; Actinomycetes. The record is from RNAcentral.